UACAAUUGUCAUGUCCACAAUCUAACUAUUACAUAACAUCACUUCAUACUCUGGCUAACCUCCUGGUCUACCCUGUACCUGCACAUCUGGGGUUAGGGGAGAGGGGUGAGCUAUAAAGCCCAGUGAGCAGAAUAGAGAAAACAUAUAUUAAAUAUUUCAUGCUUCCAUGAAAUGCAACACAUCACAAACAUAUCACAUAAGGAUGGUACUGUCACCUAUAGUCCUCAUCAUAGUCCAAUCGUGCCAGGGGCGUAGAAUGGGCCUCACUGGUCUUUCUCUUACAUACAUAACAUAACAUAACAUUCCAAUAUGCCAGGGGCGUAGAAUGGGCCUCACUGGUCUUUCUCUUAACAUAGUCCAGGGGCGUAGAAUGGGCCUCACUGGUAAUCCAUACCGUAUCAUCAUCAUCAUCAUAUCAUACCAUAGGAGGACUAGAGGAUCAUUCAAUAACCAAUCCACAUCCACAUCAAAUUAUGCAAUGCAACAUCUUCGUGAUUACUAAUGCAAACACCCUAUAAUAUCACAUGGCAUAUAUGAUGCGUGAACAUGUUCAAAAAGUUAUAUUUCAUUUAUUUAAAACUUAAGGUUUAUUCCACUCACCUCUUAGCUGAAGCUCAACAGACUCUGAAGCAGCUAUCUCACUGCUGGGGUCCCUGAUUUCUCGGGUCCGAACCUACACAGGUGGACUCAAAUGAGGGACCGAACAUACAUAAACAUGACUCUAAAAUACUCCCCAAAAACCCCCUAGAACAUCAUGAAAA
RNAcentral lists this long non-coding RNA (761 nucleotides) under Manihot esculenta (cassava). Its description in RNAcentral is "long non-coding RNA (MESC_LNC009396)". The record is from RNAcentral. Lineage: Eukaryota; Viridiplantae; Streptophyta; Magnoliopsida; Malpighiales; Euphorbiaceae.